This 848-nucleotide long non-coding RNA is filed under the name Homo sapiens (human). Its description in RNAcentral is "non-protein coding lnc-CYSTM1-1:10". The record is from RNAcentral. Lineage: Eukaryota; Metazoa; Chordata; Mammalia; Primates; Hominidae.
GUUACAACACCACCAAAUGGACUAAGACAAGUAUUUAUCCAAAGGAAAUAAAAAUGCUACGACACAAAGAGGAGCUGCUAACACCAGAUGACCAACUCCUUUCCAGUUACGGACCAUCCCGGUGAUGAGACCUCCAUAUGUUGUCUGAUGGCCGCAGUUCCUUGAGAAGCGUGGCCUGUCAGCCCAGCAUCAGAUGGUUCCAUGCCAACCUCCUCCAUGGCUAGGUGUUGGAGCGCCCCAGCUGCUGCCUCCCUGGUAGCUUUCAUUAAAGGACUUUGCUUUUUUGGUAAAUAAGGGCCCCAUUUUUCUACCUUAGUCUUUGAAAAUCAACCUGAGAAACACUUUGUGUGUCUACAUCUCUUAGGAAGAAGAGAAUAAUGAGAUGAUGUAUGCAGAGCACUGGCAGAAAGCCUAGCAUAGAGGAAUCUGAGGAUUCGCCAUGCAUGCUUCCUGGUAUAUAGUACUAGUUCUUGUCAAUGGCACAGAGACUUGAAGACUGUAUAUAAAUGGACACACCUACUAGAAUGAAUGGAAACCCACACUGCUGUUGUGAAGACACCUGAUGAAACUCCAGCAACUUCUACAUCUGGCCUGCUGCUUAGUCCUGGGACCUGAGGUCAAAAUCUUAGAAAAGAGCCAUGUGAGAUGCAUUCCCUGGCCUCAUCUCUGUUCUUGGAUGCUGUCAGCAACACUCCUUGAGUUUUUACCCACAUAAUAACACUUUCCUCAGCAUGGAUGUGGAGGUGGGGGUGAGGAAUGUUCUAUUUUUCCUUCGAUGGUUACGCCCUCACCCUACCAACUCAGUAAAAGGGGAGUGGUCAGGGAGCGUACUGAGAAUGUGUCCUAGC